Molecule: ribosomal RNA, 253 nt
Filed under: uncultured bacterium
Lineage: Bacteria
Description: partial 16S ribosomal RNA
Rfam family: Bacterial small subunit ribosomal RNA
Source: RNAcentral
UACGGAGGGUGCGAGCGUUGUCCGGAAUCACUGGGCGUAAAGGGCGCGUAGGCGGCCUGAUAAGUAGGGGGUGAAAUCCUGCGGCUUAACCGCAGGGCUGCCUUCUAAACUGUCAGGCUUGAGCACAGUAGAGGCAGGUGGAAUUCCCGGUGUAGCGGUGGAUUGCGUAGAGAUCGGGAAGAACAUCAGUGGCGAAGGCGGCCUGCUGGGCUGUUGCUGACGCUGAGGCGCGACAGCGUGGGGAGCAAACAGG